AGGAUGAACGCUGGCGGUCUGCUUAACACAUGCAAGUCGAACGGAGUAGCAAUACUUAGUGGCGGACGGGUGAGUAACGCGUGAGAAUCUACCUUCAGGACGGAGACAACAGUUGGAAACGACUGCUAACCCCCGAUGUACCGAAAGGGCAAAUAUUUAUAGCCUGAAGAAGAGCUCGCGUCCGAUUAGCUAGUUGGAGAGGUAAAAGCUCACCAAGGCGACGAUCGGUAGCUGGUCUGAGAGGAUGAUCAGCCACACUGGGACUGAGACACGGCCCAGACUCCUACGGGAGGCAGCAGUGGGAAUUUUCCGCAAUGGGCGAAAGCCUGACGGAGCAAGACCGCGUGAGGGAGGAAGGCUCUUGGGUUGUAAACCUCUUUUCUUGGGGAAGAACAAAAUGACGGUACCAAGGAAUCAGCAUCGGCUAACUCCGUGCCAGCAGCCGC
This 446-nucleotide ribosomal RNA is filed under the name uncultured bacterium. RNAcentral's name for it is "SSU rRNA". It matches the Rfam family "Bacterial small subunit ribosomal RNA", at positions 26 to 518 of the family's 1533-position model. The record is from RNAcentral.